RNAcentral lists this ribosomal RNA (395 nucleotides) under uncultured bacterium. RNAcentral describes it as "bacterial SSU rRNA". It matches the Rfam family "Bacterial small subunit ribosomal RNA", at positions 505 to 898 of the family's 1533-position model. The record is from RNAcentral.
GUGUCAGCCGCCGCGGUAAUACGAGUGGUGCAAGCGUUAUUCGGAUUUAUUGGGUGUAAAGGGUGCGCAGACGGUUUGUUAAGUCACUUGUUAAAUUCUCUGGCCUAACCAGAGGCAUGCGAGUGAAACUGGCGAACUUGAGGGUGGAAGAGAGAAGUGGAAUUCUCGGAGUAGCGGUAAAAUGCGUAGAUCUCGAGAGGAACACCAAUGGCGAAGGCAGCUUCUUGGUCCAUUUCUGACGUUCAUGCACGAAAGCGUGGGGAGCAAACAGGAUUAGAUACCCUGGUAGUCCACGCCGUAAACGAUGAUCACUAGACGUUAGUUCUGUUUACAGAACUAGUGUCGUAGCUAACGCGUUAAGUGAUCCACCUGGGAAUUACGGUCGCAAGACUAAA